RNAcentral lists this ribosomal RNA (263 nucleotides) under uncultured Atopobium sp. RNAcentral's name for it is "partial 16S ribosomal RNA". It matches the Rfam family "Bacterial small subunit ribosomal RNA", at positions 92 to 355 of the family's 1533-position model. Lineage: Bacteria; Bacillati; Actinomycetota; Coriobacteriia; Coriobacteriales; Atopobiaceae. The record is from RNAcentral.
AAAGUGGCGAACGGCUGAGUAACACGUGGGCAACCUGCCCUUUGCACUGGGAUAGCCUCGGGAAACCGAGGUUAAUACCGGAUACUCCAUAUUUGUCGCAUGGCGAAUAUGGGAAAGCUCCGGCGGCAAAGGAUGGGCCCGCGGCCUGUUAGCUAGUUGGUGGGGUAGUGGCCUACCAAGGCAAUGAUGGGUAGCCGGGUUGAGAGACCGACCGGCCAGAUUGGGACUGAGACACGGCCCAGACUCCUACGGGAGGCAGCAGC